RNAcentral lists this long non-coding RNA (212 nucleotides) under Nicotiana benthamiana. RNAcentral's name for it is "long non-coding RNA (NBEN_LNC009889)". The record is from RNAcentral. Lineage: Eukaryota; Viridiplantae; Streptophyta; Magnoliopsida; Solanales; Solanaceae.
CCAGUAAUCCUUUCCACCUUGUUAAUCACCUCAUCUUUCGUUGAAUGAUGCAGAUAUAUGGCUGAUUUGGCUUUAUUAACCAGUUGACCGGAUGUUGCUUCAUAAGCUUGCAGAACCUCCAUCACAAGUGUUAGAGACUUUUCAUCUGAUGAGCAGAAAAUGAUUUUAUCAUCCGCAUAAGCCAGGUGGUUUAUUUUUGGGCUCCAUUUAGG